GACGAACCGUGCAAACGUUAUUCGGAAUCACUGGGCAUAAAGGGCGCGUAGGCGGCUUUCUAAGUCAGGGGUGAAAUCCGGCAGCUCAACUGUCGCAGUGCCUUUGAUACUGGAGAGCUCGAGGGAGGUAGGGGUCUGUGGAACUUCCGGUGGAGCGGUGAAAUGCGUUGAUAUCAGGAGGAACACCGGUGGCGAAGGCGGUUCUCUGGGCAUGACCUGACGCUGAGGAGCGAAAGUGUGGGGAGCGAACAGG
This 253-nucleotide ribosomal RNA is filed under the name uncultured bacterium. Its description in RNAcentral is "partial 16S ribosomal RNA". It matches the Rfam family "Bacterial small subunit ribosomal RNA", at positions 524 to 776 of the family's 1533-position model. The record is from RNAcentral.